Long non-coding RNA from Suricata suricatta (meerkat), 422 nucleotides. RefSeq lists it as uncharacterized. NCBI's taxonomy places the organism in Eukaryota, Metazoa, Chordata, Mammalia, Carnivora, Herpestidae. The record is from RefSeq and is a predicted model, not a curated record. The transcript has 2 exons.
AAGAGAAUUUAUGUUAACUGUUUGAGUUCCACAGAGAUUCAGGAAGAAGACCCUGGCCCAAACCAGCAGGUGGAGGCAAUGAAACAACAGGAACUGGAGUGUCUACCCUAAAGGCUGUACCAAAAAAAAAAAAAAAAAUGCAAUGACCAAAAAUGAAGUCAAUGACCAAGAACCUCUCAGAUGCCUCUGGAAGCCUCCUCCCUUCCUUAUUUAUUUAUUCAACAAAUAUUCAAGAAUACGGUCAAGUUUAGUGAUUGAUGUAGCUACAGCACACAAGAUAACCAGUGUUAAGGAUGGCUAUGCCCAAAGAUGGAAGCUGCCUGGAUCUUUCAGUCAGUGCUUAGAGAAGACCUACUUAGGAGGACUCCCUGAUGGAAACAGUCUCAGAAAUAUGACUAAGAAAUAAAAUGCUAUUAUAUUAA